Molecule: ribosomal RNA, 550 nt
Filed under: uncultured archaeon
Lineage: Archaea
Description: partial 16S ribosomal RNA
Source: RNAcentral
GUGCUCCCCCGCCAAUUCUUUAGUUUCAAUCUUGCGAUCGUACUCCCCAGGCGGCAGACUUAACAGCUUCCCUGCGGCACUAGAACGGCACGUGGCCGUCCAAACACCUAGUCUGCAUCGUUUACAGCUGGGACUACCCGGGUAUCUAAUCCGGUUCGCUCCCCCAGCUUUCAUCCCUCACCGUCGGGCGCGUUCUAGCAGACAGCCUUCGCCACUGGUGGUCUUCCCGGGAUUAUAGGAUUUCACCCCUACCCCGGAAAUACCGUCUGCCUCUCUCGUCCCCUAGCUAAGCAGUAUCCCCCGCAAUCCAACGAUUAAUUCGGUGGAUUUAACAGGAGACUAACCUAGCCAGCUACGGAUGCUUUAGGCCCAAUAAACAUCCACACCACUCGAAGAGCUGGUAUUACCGCGGCGGCUGACACCAGACUUGCCCUCUCCUUAUUCCCCCAGCGUUCUAGACUGGGUAAAAGCCUUCCUCAGCGGAUGGCACUCGGGAUAGCCCUGUCAAGCUUUCGCUUAUUGCAAAGUUUUCGCGCCUGCUGCACCCCGU